AAGUCGAACGAGCUUCCGUUGAAUGAUGUGCUUGCACUGAUUUCAACAAUGAAGCGAGUGGCGAACUGGUGAGUAACACGUGGGGAAUCUGCCCAGAAGCAGGGGAUAACACUUGGAAACAGGUGCUAAUACCGUAUAACAACAAAAUCCGCAUGGAUUUUGUUUGAAAGGUGGCUUCGGCUAUCACUUCUGGAUGAUCCCGCGGCGUAUUAGUUAGUUGGUGAGGUAAAGGCCCACCAAGACGAUGAUACGUAGCCGACCUGAGAGGGUAAUCGGCCACAUUGGGACUGAGACACGGCCCAAACUCCUACGGGAGGCAGCAGUAGGGAAUCUUCCACAAUGGACGAAAGUCUGAUGGAGCAAUGCCGCGUGAGUGAAGAAGGGUUUCGGCUCGUAAAACUCUGUUGUUAAAGAAGAACACCUUUGAGAGUAACUGUUCAAGGGUUGACGGUAUUUAACCAGAAAGCCACGGCUAACUACGUGCCAGCAGCCGCGGUAAUACGUAGGUGGCAAGCGUUGUCCGGAUUUAUUGGGCGUAAAGCGAGCGCAGGCGGUUUUUUAAGUCUGAUGUGAAAGCCUUCGGCUUAACCGGAGAAGUGCAUCGGAAACUGGGAGACUUGAGUGCAGAAGAGGACAGUGGAACUCCAUGUGUAGCGGUGGAAUGCGUAGAUAUAUGGAAGAACACCAGUGGCGAAGGCGGCUGUCUAGUCUGUAACUGACGCUGAGGCUCGAAAGCAUGGGUAGCGAACAGGAUUAGAUACCCUGGUAGUCCAUGCCGUAAACGAUGAGUGCUAAGUGUUGGAGGGUUUCCGCCCUUCAGUGCUGCAGCUAACGCAUUAAGCACUCCGCCUGGGGAGUACGACCGCAAGGUUGAAACUCAAAGGAAUUGACGGGGGCCCGCACAAGCGGUGGAGCAUGUGGUUUAAUUCGAAGCUACGCGAAGAACCUUACCAGGUCUUGACAUCUUCUGCCAAUCUUAGAGAUAAGACGUUCCCUUCGGGGACAGAAUGACAGGUGGUGCAUGGUUGUCGUCAGCUCGUGUCGUGAGAUGUUGGGUUAAGUCCCGCAACGAGCGCAACCCUUAUUAUCAGUUGCCAGCAUUCAUUUGGGCAUUCUGGUGAGA
RNAcentral lists this ribosomal RNA (1123 nucleotides) under Levilactobacillus brevis. RNAcentral's name for it is "bacterial SSU rRNA". It matches the Rfam family "Bacterial small subunit ribosomal RNA", at positions 59 to 1148 of the family's 1533-position model. The record is from RNAcentral. Lineage: Bacteria; Bacillati; Bacillota; Bacilli; Lactobacillales; Lactobacillaceae.